This 21-nucleotide transfer RNA is filed under the name Helobdella lineata. Its description in RNAcentral is "partial tRNA-Leu". The record is from RNAcentral. Lineage: Eukaryota; Metazoa; Annelida; Clitellata; Rhynchobdellida; Glossiphoniidae.
UAUGAAUAAAAUCUCAUAUUA